Non-coding RNA from Acanthosepion pharaonis, 112 nucleotides. NCBI's taxonomy places the organism in Eukaryota, Metazoa, Mollusca, Cephalopoda, Sepiida, Sepiidae. The record is from the annotation of a GenBank genome assembly.
GACAGCCACAUCAUGUUGAAACACCUAUUCUCAAACAAUCAAAUAAGUUAAGCAAUGUCGAGCCUGGUCAGUACCUGGAUGGGUGACUGCUUGGAAAUACCAGGUGCUGUAA